UAGGGAAUAUUGCACAAUGGGCGAAAGCCUGAUGCAGCGACGCCGCGUGAGGGAUGAAGGGCUUCGGCUCGUAAACCUCUGUCUUGUGGGACGAUGGGGUUUGCAUUUAACACAUGCAGAUCUUGACGGUACCGCAGGAGGAAGCGCCGGCUAACUACGUGCCAGCAGCCGCGGUAAUACGUAGGGCGCAAGCGUUGCUCGGAAUCACUGGGCGUAAAGCGUGAGUAGGUGGAUUUUUAGUAAGUCAGGUGUGAAAUCCUUGGGCUUAACCCAAGAAGUGCGCUUGAUACUGCUAGUCUAGAGUUCGGGAGAGGGAGGCGGAAUUCCUAGUGUAGGGGUGAAAUCCGUAGAUAUUAGGAGGAACACCAGUGGCGUAAGCGGCCUCCUGGACCGACACUGACACUGAGUCACGAAAGCGUGGGGAUCAAACA
RNAcentral lists this ribosomal RNA (431 nucleotides) under uncultured prokaryote. Its description in RNAcentral is "bacterial SSU rRNA". It matches the Rfam family "Bacterial small subunit ribosomal RNA", at positions 355 to 774 of the family's 1533-position model. The record is from RNAcentral.